CGCUCCGUUCUCCGAGUCGUAGCGGGGUCCCGGGGCGCUUUCAGCCCCCUCCGGGCUUUUUAUCGAGGGCUUCGGGUUCUCUCGAUGUCAUCGGUAGGAGCGAGCGAGACGGGGCCGUAUUGUUCCAGCCUCGGGGCGGCUGGGAAGGCGAGGGUGCAGCAACGCAAAGCGCUGCUGAAACAAGUUUUCUUCUCUUUCAGGCCGAGCUUCUCGUCAGCCCGUAGCAGCGAGCGCUCAGAAGCCGCUCGGGAGACGCGGCGGCACGGCUCGCACGACCGGACCGCCGUUGAGGACCGCCGUGUUCUUUUCCGGAACUCCUUGAGCUCUGCCUAAGGAUGAAGGAAGAAGUAGGGGAGCCCCGGGGCGCCUCACCCCAGUCGAGGCGCUGCCGGAGCUCGUAUUCCCGGUCUAGGAAGGGCUCGCGGGCGAUACGGUGAAGUUCGGGAUUAGACCGGGAAGACGCAAGGCACCUAAAGGUACCUCGUGGCAAGCGGAGGUCUUUUUUUGUCAUCUCGUCACCAGUGAGAAGAGACUAGUCAGUAGCCCUGCCCUCACGGCCAGGCGGGCGAGGACGGAAGGACAGCGCGAGUGAGAGCAGCCUUCAGGGAGGGCGAGAAGGACAGGCGGCGUGACAGCGGCCGGUAGGCGUCCCCUUCCUUUGG
Non-coding RNA from Coturnix japonica (Japanese quail), 662 nucleotides. The record is from RefSeq and is a predicted model, not a curated record. Lineage: Eukaryota; Metazoa; Chordata; Aves; Galliformes; Phasianidae.